GGAAUCUUGGUCAAUUGGCGAAAGCCAGAACCAGUCAUGCCGCGUGCAGGAUGAAGGCCCUACGGGUCGUAAACUGCUUUUAUUCGGGAAGAAAAAGUCUGUUUCCACAGAUCUUGACGGUACCGAUUGAAUAAGGACCGGCCAACUCCGUGCCAGCAGCCGCGGUAAUACGGAGGGUCCAAGCGUUAUCCGGAUUCACUGGGUUUAAAGGGUGCGCAGGCGGCUAAGUAAGUCAGUGGUGAAAGCCUUCGGCUCAACCGGAGAAUUGCCAUUGAAACUACUUAGCUUGAGUGCAGUAGAGGUAGGCGGAAUGUAGCAUGUAGCGGUGAAAUGCAUAGAUAUGCUACAGAACACCGAUAGCGAAAGCAGCUUACCACACUGUAACUGACGCUGAGGCACGAAAGCAUGGGUAGCAAACAGGAUUAGAUACCC
RNAcentral lists this ribosomal RNA (432 nucleotides) under uncultured Bacteroidota bacterium. Its description in RNAcentral is "bacterial SSU rRNA". It matches the Rfam family "Bacterial small subunit ribosomal RNA", at positions 358 to 787 of the family's 1533-position model. Lineage: Bacteria; Pseudomonadati; Bacteroidota. The record is from RNAcentral.